RNAcentral lists this ribosomal RNA (219 nucleotides) under uncultured bacterium. RNAcentral's name for it is "partial 16S ribosomal RNA". It matches the Rfam family "Bacterial small subunit ribosomal RNA", at positions 15 to 225 of the family's 1533-position model. The record is from RNAcentral.
GAUCAUGGCUCAGGAUGAACGCUAGCUACAGGCUUAACACAUGCAGGUCGAGGGGCAGCAUGGUCUUAGCUUGCUAAGACUGAUAGCGACCGGCGCACGGGUGAGUAACACGUAUCCAACCUGCCGUCUACUCUUGGACAGCCUUCUGAAAGGAAGAUUAAUACAAGAUGGCAUCAUGAGUCCGCAUGUUCAUAUGAUUAAAGGUAUUCCGGUAGACGA